RNAcentral lists this unclassified non-coding RNA (328 nucleotides) under Ascomycota sp. RNAcentral describes it as "partial contains small subunit ribosomal RNA, internal transcribed spacer 1, and 5.8S ribosomal RNA". The stretch from base 1 to 47 matches the Rfam family "Eukaryotic small subunit ribosomal RNA", at positions 1785 to 1831 of the family's 1831-position model. Lineage: Eukaryota; Fungi; Ascomycota. The record is from RNAcentral.
AAAGUCGUAACAAGGUUUCCGUAGGUGAACCUGCGGAAGGAUCAUUACAAAAUGUCACGGGGCCCUCAUUGUAGCAGCAAUGUUAUCUUGGGGGUCACGGUACAAUCACUUUGAACCCGCCAGCAAUGGUUGGGGGAUAACGUGUCCACCCUCUUGUGAAACUUCUAUAUUGCUUCGGCAGCGCUCUCAACGGGUAACCGUUGGCGAGGUAAGGCUGUCAGAAGACCACUUAUAAAACUAGUAUUGAUGAAAUGUCAUGCAGUCUGAUAACUAUUCUUUGAGAAAUCAAAUUAUGUUAAAACUUUCAGCAACGGAUCUCUUGGUUCUC